UGGGGAAUAUUGGACAAUGGGCGAAAGCCUGAUCCAGCCAUGCCGCGUGUGUGAAGAAGGCCUUUUGGUUGUAAAGCACUUUAAGCGAGGAGGAGGCUACUUGGAUUAAUACUCUAGGAUAGUGGACGUUACUCGCAGAAUAAGCACCGGCUAACUCUGUGCCAGCAGCCGCGGUAAUACAGAGGGUGCGAGCGUUAAUCGGAUUUACUGGGCGUAAAGCGUGCGUAGGCGGCUUUUUAAGUCGGAUGUGAAAUCCCUGAGCUUAACUUAGGAAUUGCAUUCGAUACUGGGAAGCUAGAGUAUGGGAGAGGAUGGUAGAAUUCCAGGUGUAGCGGUGAAAUGCGUAGAGAUCUGGAGGAAUACCGAUGGCGAAGGCAGCCAUCUGGCCUAAUACUGACGCUGAGGUAUGAAAGCAUGGGGAGCAAACAGG
This 430-nucleotide ribosomal RNA is filed under the name Acidobacteriota bacterium. Its description in RNAcentral is "Acidobacteria bacterium partial 16S ribosomal RNA". It matches the Rfam family "Bacterial small subunit ribosomal RNA", at positions 355 to 776 of the family's 1533-position model. The record is from RNAcentral. Lineage: Bacteria; Pseudomonadati; Acidobacteriota.